This 463-nucleotide ribosomal RNA is filed under the name Cryptococcus sp. SM13L02. RNAcentral's name for it is "eukaryotic LSU rRNA". The stretch from base 107 to 260 matches the Rfam family "5.8S ribosomal RNA". The record is from RNAcentral. Lineage: Eukaryota; Fungi; Basidiomycota; Tremellomycetes; Tremellales; Cryptococcaceae.
UUCAAUGAGUGCCUUCUCUUCGGAGUUGGCCAUCCACACACACCGUGAACUGUGGCUUCGGCCAUUACAAACUAUUAGUAAUGAAUGUAAAAUCAUAACAAAAUAAAACUUUUAACAACGGAUCUCUUGGCUCUCGCAUCGAUGAAGAACGCAGCGAAAUGCGAUAAGUAAUGUGAAUUGCAGAAUUCAGUGAAUCAUCGAAUCUUUGAACGCACCUUGCGCCCUUUGGUAUUCCGAAGGGCAUGCCUGUUUGAGUGUCAUGAAACCUCACCCCACUUGGGUUUUUGCCUGAGCGGUUGGUGGAUUGGGCGUUGCCAGUAUAACGGCUCGCCUGAAAAGCAUAAGCACCUUGGAUGUAAUACGUUUCAUCCUUAUGGGUGGCUAAUAACCCCACAUAUUCAUGAUCUGGCCUCAAAUCAGGUAGGGCUACCCGCUGAACUUAAGCAUAUCAAUAAGCGGAGGA